RNAcentral lists this ribosomal RNA (465 nucleotides) under uncultured bacterium. RNAcentral describes it as "partial 16S ribosomal RNA". It matches the Rfam family "Bacterial small subunit ribosomal RNA", at positions 28 to 506 of the family's 1533-position model. The record is from RNAcentral.
GAUGAACGCUGGCGGCGUGCUUAACACAUGCAAGUCGAACGAUGAAGCCCAGCUUGCUGGGUGGAUUAGUGGCGAACGGGUGAGUAACACGUGAGUAACCUGCCCUUAACUCUGGGAUAAGCCUGGGAAACUGGGUCUAAUACCGGAUAGGAGCGUCCACCGCAUGGUGGGUGUUGGAAAGAUUUAUCGGUUUUGGAUGGACUCGCGGCCUAUCAGCUUGUUGGUGAGGUAAUGGCUCACCAAGGCGACGACGGGUAGCCGGCCUGAGAGGGUGACCGGCCACACUGGGACUGAGACACGGCCCAGACGCCUACGGGAGGCAGCAGUGGGGAAUAUUGCACAAUGGGCGCAAGCCUGAUGCAGCGACGCCGCGUGAGGGAGGACGGCCUUCGGGUUGUAAACCUCUUUCAGUAGGGAAGAAGCGAAAGUGACGGUACCUGCAGAAGAAGCACCGGCUAACUACGU